UGCGAGUCAUUGUAGCAAUACAAGGCAGACGGCUCAGUAACGUGUAGUCAACCUAACCUAUGGACGGGAAUAACCUCGGGAAACUGAGUAUAAUGCCCGAUAGAACAUUAUGCCUGGAAUGGUUUAUGUUCCAAAUGAUUUAUCGCCGUAGGAUGGGACUGCGGCCUAUCAGUUUGUUGGUGAGGUAAUGGCCCACCAAGACUAUUACAGGUACGGGCUCUGAGAGGAGUAGCCCGGAGAUGGGUACUGAGACACGGACCCAGGCCCUAUGGGGCGCAGCAGGCGAGAAAACUUUGCAAUGUGCGAAAGCACGACAAGGUUAAUCCGAGUGGUUUCUGCUAAAGGAACCUUUUGUCGGUCCUAGAAACACCGAUGAAUAAGGGGUGGGCAAGUUCUGGUGUCAGCCGCCGCGGUAAAACCAGCACCUCAAGUGGUCAGGAUGAUUAUUGGGCCUAAAGCAUCCGUAGCCGGCGCUGUAAGUUUUCGGUUAAAUCUGUACGCUCAACGUACAGGCUGCCGGGAAUACUGCAGCGCUAGGGAGUGGGAGAGGUAGACGGUACUCGGUAGGAAGGGGUAAAAUCCUUUGAUCUAUUGAUGACCACCUGUGGCGAAGGCGGUCUACCGGAACACGUCCGACGGUGAGGGAUGAAAGCUGGGGGAGCAAACCGGAUUAGAUACCCCGGGUAGUCCCAGCUGUAAACUAUGCAAACUCAGUGAUGCAUUGGCUUGUGGCCAAUGCAGUGCUGCAGGGAAGCCGUUAAGUUUGCCGCCUGGGAAGUACGUACGCAAGUAUGAAACUUAAAGGAAUUGGCGGGGG
This 817-nucleotide ribosomal RNA is filed under the name uncultured marine archaeon. RNAcentral describes it as "bacterial SSU rRNA". It matches the Rfam family "Archaeal small subunit ribosomal RNA", at positions 52 to 874 of the family's 1478-position model. The record is from RNAcentral.